GCCGUCUUAGCUCAUUUGGUAGAGCAACUGACUUGUAUUCAGAAGGUGGUAGGUUCAAUUCCUAUAAACGGCA
Molecule: transfer RNA, 73 nt
Filed under: bacterium
Lineage: Bacteria
Description: tRNA-Thr
Rfam family: tRNA
About the family: Transfer RNA (tRNA) molecules are approximately 80 nucleotides in length. Their secondary structure includes four short double-helical elements and three loops (D, anti-codon, and T loops). Further hydrogen bonds mediate the characteristic L-shaped molecular structure. tRNAs have two regions of fundamental functional importance: the anti-codon, which is responsible for specific mRNA codon recognition, and the 3' end, to which the tRNAs corresponding amino acid is attached (by aminoacyl-tRNA synthetases). tRNAs cope with the degeneracy of the genetic code in two manners: having more than one tRNA (with a specific anti-codon) for a particular amino acid; and 'wobble' base-pairing, i.e. permitting non-standard base-pairing at the 3rd anti-codon position.
Source: RNAcentral